Molecule: ribosomal RNA, 450 nt
Filed under: uncultured bacterium
Lineage: Bacteria
Description: bacterial SSU rRNA
Rfam family: Bacterial small subunit ribosomal RNA
Source: RNAcentral
AACGAACGCUGGCGGCAUGCCUAACACAUGCAAGUCGAACGAGACCUUCGGGUCUAGUGGCGCACGGGUGCGUAACGCGUGGGAAUCUGCCCUUUGCUUCGGAAUAACAGUUAGAAAUGACUGCUAAUACCGGAUGAUGUCUUCGGACCAAAGAUUUAUCGGCAAAGGAUGAGCCCGCGUAGGAUUAGGUAGUUGGUGGGGUAAAGGCCUACCAAGCCGACGAUCCUUAGCUGGUCUGAGAGGAUGAUCAGCCACACUGGGACUGAGACACGGCCCAGACUCCUACGGGAGGCAGCAGUGGGGAAUAUUGGACAAUGGGCGCAAGCCUGAUCCAGCAAUGCCGCGUGAGUGAUGAAGGCCUUCGGGUCGUAAGCUCUUUACCAGGAUGAUAAUGACAGUACCUGGAGAAUAAGACGUCCGGCCUAACUACCGUGCCAGCAGCCGCGGUAA